RNAcentral lists this transfer RNA (77 nucleotides) under Syntrophomonadaceae bacterium. RNAcentral's name for it is "tRNA-Arg". It matches the Rfam family "tRNA". Rfam says of the family: Transfer RNA (tRNA) molecules are approximately 80 nucleotides in length. Their secondary structure includes four short double-helical elements and three loops (D, anti-codon, and T loops). Further hydrogen bonds mediate the characteristic L-shaped molecular structure. tRNAs have two regions of fundamental functional importance: the anti-codon, which is responsible for specific mRNA codon recognition, and the 3' end, to which the tRNAs corresponding amino acid is attached (by aminoacyl-tRNA synthetases). tRNAs cope with the degeneracy of the genetic code in two manners: having more than one tRNA (with a specific anti-codon) for a particular amino acid; and 'wobble' base-pairing, i.e. permitting non-standard base-pairing at the 3rd anti-codon position. Lineage: Bacteria; Bacillati; Bacillota; Clostridia; Eubacteriales; Syntrophomonadaceae. The record is from RNAcentral.
GUGCCCGUAGCUCAGGCGGACAGAGCAGCGGUUUCCUAAACCGCGUGCCGGGGGUUCGAGUCCCUCCGGGCGCACCA